Molecule: long non-coding RNA, 400 nt
Organism: Bos taurus (domestic cattle)
Lineage: Eukaryota; Metazoa; Chordata; Mammalia; Artiodactyla; Bovidae
Source: Ensembl
CGAGAGGGUAGGAGGCGAGGCAGAGCGCAGGGCCUACCCGAGACGCUUAAAGGGACCCGAAAAGCGGACUGUGCAGGGGUGUCUUCGGGCCAUAACUCCUCGCGGGUUUAAAACAGACAGAACGGAUGAGCAAGUCUACUCAUCUAUGAUUUGAAACCACCAGAGGGCGCAAGAGGCCAGCUCAGAAUCUCAGUCCGUUCUGGGUUUUUGUGUGGACGUAAGUUCUCAUCUGAGUAAACAACUAGAAGCGAGAUUACUGGAUCUUAUGGGCUCCAGAAACAACAGAGACUGUGGAAUCUCCACACAGAUGACAGAAGACAAGACUCCCAGGGAGUUGGCAGGGUCUGCACCCUGAGGAGCCAAACGUGGGGUUUUCAGAGCGGCCACCCAUCCCCACCAG